UCAUGAUGCUUUUUGGAUAAUCAACAUUUCAAAGCAUAAAGAGAAGAUUAGCUCUGAUCAUGCGCAAGAAUGACACAAGCAUAUUGAGAUAAAGCAUCUAUAUUC
Camellia sinensis is the source of this 105-nucleotide non-coding RNA. Lineage: Eukaryota; Viridiplantae; Streptophyta; Magnoliopsida; Ericales; Theaceae. The record is from RefSeq and is a predicted model, not a curated record.